AGAGUUUGAUCCUGGCUCAGGAUGAACGCUAGCUACAGGCUUAACACAUGCAAGUCGAGGGGCAGCAUGGUCUUAGCUUGCUAAGGCCGAUGGCGACCGGCGCAUGGGUGAGUAACACGUAUCCAACCUGCCGUCUACUCUUGGACAGCCUUCUGAAAGGAAGAUUAAUACAAGAUGGCAUCAUGAGUCCGCAUGUUCACAUGAUUAAAGGUAUUCCGGUAGACGAUGGGGAUGCGUUCCAUUAGAUAGUAGGCGGGGUAACGGCCCACCUAGUCUUCGAUGGAUAGGGGUUCUGAGAGGAAGGUCCCCCACAUUGGUACUGAGACACGGACCAAACUCCUACGGAGGCAGCAGUGAGGAAUAUUGGUCAAUGGACGAGAGUCUGAACCAGCCAAGUCGCGUGAAGGAAGACGGAUCUAUGGUUUGUAAACUUCUUUAGUGCGGGAACAAAGCGGCGUCGUGACGCCGGAUGAGUGUACCGCAAGAAUAAGCAUCGGCUAACUCCGUGCCAGCAGCCGCGGUAAUACGGAGGAUGCGAGCGUUAUCCGGAUUUAUUGGGUUUAAAGGGAGCGCAGGCUGCGAGGCAAGUCAGCGGUCAAAUGUCGGGGCUCAACCCCGGCCUGCCGUUGAAACUGUCCUGCUAGAGUUCGAGUGAGGUAUGCGGAAUGCGUUGUGUAGCGGUGAAAUGCAUAGAUAUGACGCAGAACUCCGAUUGCGAAGGCAGCAUACCAACUCGCGACUGACGCUGAGGCUCGAAAGCGUGGGUAUCGAACAGGAUUAGAUACCCUGGUAGUCCACGCAGUAAACGAUGAAUACUAACUGUUCGGAGGGCGACCUCUGAGUGGUAAAGCGAAAGUGUUAAGUAUUCCACCUGGGGAGUACGCCGGC
RNAcentral lists this ribosomal RNA (888 nucleotides) under uncultured bacterium. RNAcentral describes it as "bacterial SSU rRNA". It matches the Rfam family "Bacterial small subunit ribosomal RNA", at positions 8 to 889 of the family's 1533-position model. The record is from RNAcentral.